RNAcentral lists this ribosomal RNA (493 nucleotides) under uncultured bacterium. Its description in RNAcentral is "partial 16S ribosomal RNA". It matches the Rfam family "Bacterial small subunit ribosomal RNA", at positions 29 to 507 of the family's 1533-position model. The record is from RNAcentral.
ACGAACGCUGGCGGCGUGCUUAACACCUGCAAGUCGAACGGUGAAGCGCCUUCCUUUUUGGUGGGUGUGGAUGAGUGGCGAACGGGUGAGUAACACGUGAGUAACCUGCCCCCUUCUUCUGGAUAACCGCAUGAAAGUGUGGCUAAUACGGGAUAUUCUGGGUCUGUCGCAUGAUGGGUCUGGGAAAGAUAUUGUUUCGGUGGGGGAUGGGCUCGCGGCCUAUCAGCUUGUUGGUGGGGUGAUGGCCUACCAAGGCGGUGACGGGUAGCCGGCCUGAGAGGGUGGGCGGUCACACUGGGACGGAGACACGGACCAGACUACUACGGGAGGCAGCAGUGGGGAAUAGUGCACAAUGGGCGCAAGCCUGAUGCAGCGACGCCGCGUGAGGGAUGGAGGCCUUCGGGUUGUGAACCUCUUUCGCCAGUGAAGCAGGCCUGCCUCGUUUGUGGGUGGGUUGACGGUAGCUGGAUAAGAAGCGCCGGCUAACUACGUG